AGGAAGUUGACACUUGCCAGGGAAAAUAUUUUCAUCAACAACUCGACGAAAAAUUAGCAAGUGUCAAAGAUAAAUAAAACUCGGGGCUGCCACUGCCUCCGCCUUCGCCCCAAUGUCGGGGCGGGGACCGGGUCUUCUUCAGGCCAAAGUAUUUAUUUGCCUGUUGAAAUAGUGUCAAACUGAGUGGACUCUUCACAUGCGGGAAGAGAGAGGCUCCUUCCAACUGUCUUGCCUACUCAAUCCCCAUAUUCCCACCAGUACCAGCCCCAGCCCCAGCCCCAAAGAAAACUUGACUAACUAUGCAAAUAAGAGUAGCAUGUGUGUGUGUGUGUGUGUGUGCCACAGCACCACCGCCAGUAGCAGUGGCAGUAGCACCAACCCCCUUUGGCGACAGUUGGCGCAGAGUAAGUGCAGUUGGUAGAAAUUAAGUAAGUUUUUAGCUGCAAUUUUUGCCGAAAACUAUGUCAAGUUUGGUUUUAGUUGCCAGCAAAGUUUUUGCUUAAGAAAAUUGUAAGUAUAAGUAUAUCAAAGGAAGCUGGAAAAGCGCGACUCAGGCUCAGACUCAGACCCAGAGCCAGAGCGAACAGUGGAGACACUAAGCAGACGUCGGGCGGAACCUAAUGAAUUUCAUGCAUGACAUGCAAGGCACGACUCUGGCUCUGACUCAGACCCCGACUCGGGCUGGGCUGGCUGCCGCUUAAUUAAAACCAUUAGGCGUGAGUAAAACUUAGCCAGAGAAUCAAAUUUGAUGGGUGGCAGUGGCAGUGGCAUGGGCAUGGGCAUGGGUGUGGGUGUAGAAGAUAGAGAUGAGAUCUGAUGCAGGGAGGGUAUGAUAUGGUGUCAAAACUAUGGCUGCAUUGUCUAGGAAAAACUGCUAGCGAGAGGAAAAUCUUUUGCAUGUUUUGGUCAUAUUCUAAAAAUAAUAGCACUGGGAAGCAGCCAGACCCCGCCAGUCCCUGAGUGUCGUCCGGUCAAGUGGGUGGGCACCCACUUGGCUGACCCCUUGGGGUGGAUUUUUAUGACUUGGCGGCAACGACAGAUGCAGCAUAUGGUGUGGCAAGUGGCAGGAGGUUGGGCCGGGGUUGUGGCAUGGAAAUUAUAACAUUUUCCUGCCCGCAACAGAAAACGAAAGCUUAACAAAUUUCCCCCCUACCCAGGAGGAUCCGACUAAUUUAUUAGCGAAAAAGGAUUUGCAUUUCGAAGAAGUGAAUACGGAUUCCCAGAAGAAGCUCUAUUUCUAUCGGCUCUUAUUUCUUAGGAAAAUUCUGCAGGAUGCAUCUGGAAAAAUAAUGACGCACUCAGAAAUGAAGUUGCUUCAGUUUUGCGUAAACUUUCCGCUCGAACGGUUAGACAAGAUUGCCACAUUUCAAGGCUGGGCCACGCGUUGGGAAAUAAAGCUAAAAGCUCGGCAGGAUAUCAGAGCCACCACCAGAGAGCCAACCGCUAUGUUGGCUUCUUAGCCGCUGAGCUAUGGCCGAGCUAAAAAAGUUUAAUUCAAAAACUUGUACAAAAAUGCACAUUUAAUGGAAAUUUACUACCUGAAGUCGCGUCAACGACAGGAGCAGCAGGAGCAGCCGCAGCAGCAACAAGGGAAACCCGAAACAAGCGCCACAAAGUUGCAAUGGACAUGGAGGAGGUGGAGGAGCCGUGGCAGGUGGAUGCAGAGGCGUAGUGCCAGCAUAAUACAGAGUAGCAGUAGCAUUAGCACUGGCAGGAGUAGAAGCAGGCCAGGAGAAGCAGCUGGAGCCAGAAACAGAGUGAGAUAGAGCCAGAGCCAGAGCAGAGAGCAGCAAAGUGUUAACGGUUUGUUUGUGCGCCAAAUGGCUGCAAGGGGGGAUGGGGGACAAUGAUGGAGCCAGGGCCAGGCCGAGAGCCAGAGCCAGGGCCAGGAAUGUUAUCCUGCAGUUGUCUGCCUUUGGUCCUGCGUAACCGGAAACGGAAAUUGCGUAGCGCAGCCAAGUGCGUUGCAGUGGUACCACCAAGAGGCAGCGAGCCGUAACAUGGACACCACCAUUCAGUCGCCCCGACCCGGCUCCGACCCCGACCCUCAGAAAACGGGGUGGUGCGGCACAGGUGCUGCCGGUGGCUGUCAUUAACGUGUUUUGUAUUUUUAACGCGUGGUGAUGGCAACGCCCGUGGUGGUGUCACGCCAGUGUCGGGUGUCGGGAAAUGGAGAGGAAAUUAUAUCUGUGUAUGAAAUGGAUUAUCUCGUGGAUAAACUAGAAAUGAUGGAAUAGAGGAGACUGUGGUUGAUCUGCGAUAGGAUUUGUCCAACAGCUGAGAGGUCCAUAGAGGAGGAGAAACUUUAAUUGAAUUCGUCGUGAAAGCUCCCCUCAUUAGCAUUAUUCGCCAUUAUAUUCCUCCUCUCGUUCCUUGCCAUCAAAGAUCAUCCAAUCAGCUCUUAACUCUCGACUCUUUAACAAUGCCAAGCCAUUUGCGAAACCGAAUCAAAGCCAAUGGAAAUACGAAAACUUUUUCAUGUGCCACAUCCUGCCCAGAGCAGUGAAAAGCGUAAAACGAAACGAAAAUGCGAGGCGAAAGCAAAUGAAAAUGGAGCACUCCAUUUGCUGGACCAGUCCGGGGACCAGUCCUGGUCAGUCCCCGUCCUGGCCAUGUGCAAUCCUGCUGCCGCACCGCAAGAGCCAAACAAAUAAGAAAUUAGUUGAUGCCAAGUUGUUGCAGCUGCAGCUUCAGCUGCACUGCCGUUGCCGC
Molecule: long non-coding RNA, 2712 nt
Organism: Drosophila pseudoobscura
Lineage: Eukaryota; Metazoa; Arthropoda; Insecta; Diptera; Drosophilidae
Exons: 4
Source: RefSeq, a predicted model, not a curated record